UACGGGGGGAGCAAGCGUUGUUCGGAUUUACUGGGCGUAAAGGGCGCGUAGGCGGCCACUUCAAGUCAGUUGUGAAAUCUCCGGGCUUAACCCGGAAAGGUCAACUGAUACUGCAGGGCUAGAGUGCAGAAGGGGCAACUGGAAUUCUCGGUGUAGCGGUGAAAUGCGUAGAUAUCAGGAGGAACACCGGUGGCGAAGGCGGUUCUCUGGGCAUGUCCUGACGCUGAGGAGCGAAAGUGUGGGGAGCGAACAGG
RNAcentral lists this ribosomal RNA (254 nucleotides) under uncultured bacterium. RNAcentral describes it as "partial 16S ribosomal RNA". It matches the Rfam family "Bacterial small subunit ribosomal RNA", at positions 524 to 776 of the family's 1533-position model. The record is from RNAcentral.